AUGAACGCUGGCGGCGUGCUUAACACAUGCAAGUCGAACGGAGUAUUGACGCUGAGGAGCAGAGAGCUUGCUCGAAGCAAAUCUUGUUGAUACUUAGUGGCGGACGGGUGAGUAACGCGUGGGUAACCUGCCGUAUGCAGGGGGACAACAGUUGGAAACGACUGCUAAUACCGCAUAUGCACACAGUAAGGCAUCUUACAGGGUGGAAAGAAUUUUCGGCAUACGAUGGACCCGCGUCUGAUUAGCUGGUUGGUGAGGUAACGGCCCACCAAGGCGACGAUCAGUAGCCGGCCUGAGAGGGUGAACGGCCACAUUGGGACUGAGACACGGCCCAACUCCUACGGGAGGCAGCAGGUGGGGAAUAUUGCACAAUGGGGGAAACCCUGAUGCAAGCGACGCCGCGUGAGUGAAGAAGUAUUUCGGUAUGUAAAGCUCUAUCAGCAGGGAAGAAAAUGACGGUACCUGACUAAGAAGCCCCGGCUAACUACGUGCCAGCCGCAGC
Molecule: ribosomal RNA, 502 nt
Filed under: uncultured bacterium
Lineage: Bacteria
Description: bacterial SSU rRNA
Rfam family: Bacterial small subunit ribosomal RNA
Source: RNAcentral